GAUGAACGCUGGCGGCGUGCCUAAUACAUGCAAGUCGAGCGAACAGACGAGGAGCUUGCUCCUCUGACGUUAGCGGCGGACGGGUGAGUAACACGUGGAUAACCUACCUAUAAGACUGGGAUAACUUCGGGAAACCGGAGCUAAUACCGGAUAAUAUAUUGAACCGCAUGGUUCAAUAGUGAAAGACGGUUUUGCUGUCACUUAUAGAUGGAUCCGCGCCGCAUUAGCUAGUUGGUAAGGUAACGGCUUACCAAGGCAACGAUGCGUAGCCGACCUGAGAGGGUGAGCGGCCACACUGGAACUGAGACACGGUCCAGACUCCUACGGGAGGCAGCAGUAGGGAAUCUUCCGCAAGGGGCGAAAGCCUGACGGAGCAACGCCGCGUGAGUGAUGAAGGUCUUCGGAUCUGAAAACUCUGUUAUUAGGGAAGAACAAAUGUGUAAGUAACUAUGCACGUCUUGACGGUACCUAAUCAGAAAGCCACGGCUAACUACGUG
RNAcentral lists this ribosomal RNA (497 nucleotides) under uncultured bacterium. RNAcentral's name for it is "partial 16S ribosomal RNA". It matches the Rfam family "Bacterial small subunit ribosomal RNA", at positions 28 to 507 of the family's 1533-position model. The record is from RNAcentral.